AACGAACGCUGGCGGCAUGCCUAAUACAUGCAAGUCGAACGAGAUCUUCGGAUCUAGUGGCGCACGGGUGCGUAACGCGUGGGAAUCUGCCCUUGGGUUCGGAAUAACUUCUGGAAACGGAAGCUAAUACCGGAUGAUGACGUAAGUCCAAAGAUUUAUCGCCCAAGGAUGAGCCCGCGUAGGAUUAGCUAGUUGGUGGGGUAAAGGCCCACCAAGGCGACGAUCCUUAGCUGGUCUGAGAGGAUGAUCAGCCACACUGGGACUGAGACACGGCCCAGACUCCUACGGGAGGCAGCAGUAGGGAAUAUUGGACAAUGGGCGAAAGCCUGAUCCAGCAAUGCCGCGUGAGUGAUGAAGGCCUUAGGGUUGUAAAGCUCUUUUACCCGGGAUGAUAAUGACAGUACCGGGAGAAUAAGCUCCGGCUAACUCCGUGCCAGCAGCCGCGGUAAUACGGAGGGAGCUAGCGUUGUUCGGAAUUACUGGGCGUAAAGCGCACGUAGGCGGCUAUUCAAGUCAGAGGUGAAAGCCCGGGGCUCAACCCCGGAACUGCCUUUGAAACUAGAUAGCUUGAAUCCAGGAGAGGUGAGUGGAAUUCCGAGUGUAGAGGUGAAAUUCGUAGAUAUUCGGAAGAACACCAGUGGCGAAGGCGGCUCACUGGACUGGUAUUGACGCUGAGGUGCGAAAGCGUGGGGAGCAAACAGG
Molecule: ribosomal RNA, 702 nt
Filed under: uncultured Alphaproteobacteria bacterium
Lineage: Bacteria; Pseudomonadati; Pseudomonadota; Alphaproteobacteria
Description: bacterial SSU rRNA
Rfam family: Bacterial small subunit ribosomal RNA
Source: RNAcentral